Small nucleolar RNA from Hevea brasiliensis (rubber tree), 108 nucleotides. NCBI's taxonomy places the organism in Eukaryota, Viridiplantae, Streptophyta, Magnoliopsida, Malpighiales, Euphorbiaceae. The record is from RefSeq and is a predicted model, not a curated record.
AUGGUAUGAUGUGGACAUUGUCUCUCUAAUUCCUUCCAUCUCAUCCAUGAUUCAUAGAGAGUUUCACCUUUUCUUGGUCUGAAAGCUGUCAUUUGAUUCCUCAAUUCU